Molecule: ribosomal RNA, 468 nt
Filed under: uncultured bacterium
Lineage: Bacteria
Description: partial 16S ribosomal RNA
Rfam family: Bacterial small subunit ribosomal RNA
Source: RNAcentral
GACGAACGCUGGCGGCGUGCUUAACACAUGCAAGUCGAACGGAAAGGCCCUGCUUUUGUGGGGUACUCGAGUGGCGAACGGGUGAGUAACACGUGAGUAACCUGCCCUUGACUUUGGGAUAACUUCAGGAAACUGGGGCUAAUACCGGAUAGGAGCUCCUGCUGCAUGGUGGGGGUUGGAAAGUUUCGGCGGUUGGGGAUGGACUCGCGGCUUAUCAGCUUGUUGGUGGGGUAGUGGCUUACCAAGGCUUUGACGGGUAGCCGGCCUGAGAGGGUGACCGGCCACAUUGGGACUGAGAUACGGCCCAGACUCCUACGGGAGGCAGCAGUGGGGAAUAUUGCACAAUGGGCAGAAGCCUGAUGCAGCAACGCCGCGUGCGGGAUGACGGCCUUCGGGUUGUAAACCGCUUUCGCCUGUGACGAAGCGUGAGUGACGGUAAUGGGUAAAGAAGCACCGGCUAACUACGUG